RNAcentral lists this transfer RNA (75 nucleotides) under Faecalibacterium prausnitzii. RNAcentral's name for it is "tRNA-Asn(gtt)". It matches the Rfam family "tRNA". Rfam says of the family: Transfer RNA (tRNA) molecules are approximately 80 nucleotides in length. Their secondary structure includes four short double-helical elements and three loops (D, anti-codon, and T loops). Further hydrogen bonds mediate the characteristic L-shaped molecular structure. tRNAs have two regions of fundamental functional importance: the anti-codon, which is responsible for specific mRNA codon recognition, and the 3' end, to which the tRNAs corresponding amino acid is attached (by aminoacyl-tRNA synthetases). tRNAs cope with the degeneracy of the genetic code in two manners: having more than one tRNA (with a specific anti-codon) for a particular amino acid; and 'wobble' base-pairing, i.e. permitting non-standard base-pairing at the 3rd anti-codon position. The record is from RNAcentral. Lineage: Bacteria; Bacillati; Bacillota; Clostridia; Eubacteriales; Oscillospiraceae.
GCCUCUUUAGCUCAGUCGGUUAGAGCACCUGACUGUUAAUCAGGGUGUCGCCUGUUCGAGUCAGGCAAGAGGCGC